AAUGGCAAGAUUGAAAAAAUUGUGGAUUUGAGAAUUGGAAUCGCUUCCACAAUAUUAAUCGACUCAAGCAAU
Molecule: microRNA precursor, 72 nt
Filed under: Medicago truncatula (barrel medic)
Lineage: Eukaryota; Viridiplantae; Streptophyta; Magnoliopsida; Fabales; Fabaceae
Description: miR5240 stem-loop (mtr-MIR5240)
Source: miRBase by way of RNAcentral